CUAGCGACUUCAGAGUUGAUCCUGGCUCAGGACGAACGCUGGCGGCGUGCCUAACACAUGCAAGUCGAACGGAGUUAAUUGCUUCGGUGAUUAACUUAGUGGCGAACGGGUGAGUAACGCGUGAGAAACCUACCUUUCAGUGGGGGACAACAGUUGGAAACGACUGCUAAUACCGCAUGAUGUAGCGAGGGGGCAUCCCUUUGCUACCAAAGCUUAAUGUGCUGAAAGAUGGUCUCGCGUCUGAUUAGCUAGUUGGCGGGGUAACGGCCCACCAAGGCGACGAUCAGUAGCCGGUCUGAGAGGAUGAACGGCCACAUUGGGACUGAGAUACGGCCCAG
This 338-nucleotide ribosomal RNA is filed under the name uncultured bacterium. Its description in RNAcentral is "bacterial SSU rRNA". It matches the Rfam family "Bacterial small subunit ribosomal RNA", at positions 1 to 334 of the family's 1533-position model. The record is from RNAcentral.